UUGGAAGUGGGCCAUCAUAUCCCACAGGAAGGUGACAAUGGUCGGGAGGCAGCUGCAGGGCUGUGGAGAGGGGCUUUGUUUGCUGACUCAGUGAGAAUUUGAUUGCAGUGGAUCCUUCCUGUGUGCACAGCUCAUUUGAAAGCCUUUAGUGAUAAAGCUGGAAAAUACGGGUUUCCCAGUAGAGAACAGUCAAAGGGGCCUGGAGGCACACUGGGGAGGCCAGGUGGCAGGGCCCCCAGUGUGCAAAGCCAACAGCACAGGCCUGAAGUCACCAGGGGCUCUGGGCCCUGUUUACUCACCUGCCCAUCUGUAGGGCUCCAGCAACAUUCUAGAAAUCACAGGAUUUCUGCCUGUGGGGAGAAAUCUGCCUGGGGGAACCUGCAGGCUCCUUGGUCUUCCUCCUGGGACCCUCCCACCCUCCCCACGUGGGAACCAGCUUCUGCCACAAAACGUGCCCCCAUUUGGCACCCCUGUCUUCUCCAGGGGCUUGCACACCCAUAAACACUCCUGGAGCAGACAGAAAAGUGGUCUAGUUUUCUAGGUAAAACACGAAAUAAAGCUAACUUUUGUAAAAUCCCUAUUCAGUUAGAAUCUCAACAUAAAGAAUUAAGGGAACUGACAAAUAGUCAAAAAAGGAGAGACUUUUAUCCUGGGAGGACUGGGGCCAGCCCCAGGAACAGGGGGCAGCAGCAGGGUGCAGGUGGGAGCAGGGACAGGCCAGCAUGGAGUCCCCUGCCAGUCCUCCCUGACAUGGUGCUGGGUUUUCUCAGACUCUCUCUUCCACCAGAUACCUCUUCCCCUGGAGCGCUGACCCAUUUCAGACGGACACACAGAGACCCCUGCACUUCACAAGAGAAGCUUUCCAUGAAAGUAUUAGGGAAGCAAGCUUUUCGGAUGGGGAGCAUAUUAUUGGCAGGGUUUCUGCUCCCCAUGUGGGACGAGUGUCCAGGUAUGAGCAUAAUAUAAACUCCCCUGCCCACUGUCUUCCAGGGGAUGCAGGGGGAAGCCAGCCGACUGACUGCUGUGACCAGACCCGUGACCCAGUGACACCGGGAAGGAACUUGGUCCCUAGGGCCCAGGAAUUCCUGACAGGCGUUUCUGAUGACCCAGAGAGGUGCAUCUGGGCUGCUUGCCCCCCGUCCUCCCGCAGUGCCGCGUCUCCCAGAGCUGAGGAGCACGGGAGUCUUCAUCCCUCCAGUGGAGUGCCAGUCGGUAAGGGCUUGGGAAGGGGAGCCGGCACCAGAGCCCCUGGCUGGGGCUCCCUGUGUGGGGAGCCCAGGAAGCCCACAGCCCUGAGUCCCUCCCCGCCCGCACCUCCAGGGAGGGGCUGUCCUAGCCCCGUUUCCCAGAGAGAAAGUAGGGAAUAAAAGACACCGGACCACUUGCCUCGAGCUUGCCGGUCAGUGACACUUCGGGCUUUGGAACCCCUGUCUGGACCCAGAACCUUCCUUACCCACCUCUCCUGGGAUCUCCAAACUCCAGAGGGCAUCGGACUCACUGGGGG
This 1504-nucleotide long non-coding RNA is filed under the name Ursus thibetanus thibetanus. RNAcentral describes it as "lncRNA (ENSUTTG00000004668.1)". The record is from RNAcentral. Lineage: Eukaryota; Metazoa; Chordata; Mammalia; Carnivora; Ursidae.